This is a non-coding RNA of Lepisosteus oculatus (spotted gar), 2412 nucleotides long. The record is from RefSeq and is a predicted model, not a curated record. Lineage: Eukaryota; Metazoa; Chordata; Actinopteri; Semionotiformes; Lepisosteidae.
GUAGACCUUUCUACCACUGCCGAUAGUAAGAAUGAUAAACUGAAAAACCCCAAGCUAAAGCCUUCUUCCACUAAAGCCAUGAUUGAAGCUAAUGAAGAUUAUGAAGGAUGGAAGAGCAAAGCAGCUAGAUCACAAAUGUCCGGAUCAAGCUUCCACACACCGGGAAAGAAUUCCGGUAGUCUUCUGGCUCGUGCACCCGCUGUUCAGCCAGUGCAUGGCAGGGUGGACUGGGCAGCCAAAUAUGGAGGCCAUCGGUAGCACAGGGUUUCAGCUGAGCUACGUGACUGUUGUGCUUGACCCGAGACUGCGCCAUGAGACCCGAAUGGUCCAGCAGGAGGCAUUAAGGGAUUAAGCCUUUACAAUUGCAUUCACGUCACCAAAUUGUAUGAAAGUUGGAAUAAAUGAUUUUUGUCUAUUCUAAUUUGGAUUCUGUCAUGGACUGUACUAUGUAUACUGCACUCGUCUUUCACAUCAGGGAGAUUUCUUUAAAUUACAUGUAGUCUUGAUCUGAGUGUCAAGAACACCCUGUUUUAGAUGUGUGCUGCCGAGUCAAGGGUUAAUGAACUACACAUUACUCAUUUUUAAAUUUUGCCACUGAUUUAGGAAAAAAAUUGUUUGCACUAUUACAGUAUUUGAUAAUGACAUUCAUGCACUCUUAGAUGCAAAUGAAAGUAACAGUACUUUCCUUUUAGUUUUGGUAAAAAAACAUAGGUUUGCAUAUACCUUAGUAACACACUUCUCUACACAUUUUCAAAUAAUCUUAAAAAGGUUUUUAACAGACCUCUGUUUAACUUUGAUGUAAGUUCUAUAAUAAAACAGUGAGAAAACUUUACAUUAAAUGUUUAAUUAAAUGCCAGAUAACACCAUAAGAAGAGGUUCUUUUAUGUGCUUUUAUUAUUCUUGAUUAGGUUCUCAAUCUGACCCCUGCUGUCUGUUUCACAUGAUUUUAUUCAUUUGUCCAUGUUGCUGUUUUUGUGGGGUGGAGAGUGAGGGGCUGUAAGGCAGAUGGUAAGACCACAUUUACUGUACUGCAUCCUUCUCUUUGUUCAUGGGAAAAUGAACGAAUAUGGAACAGAAUGUGAGACUCUAUGAGACUAAAGGUAGACAUUUUUAUUGUACUAGAUCCCUAUUUUUAUCUAUUCUGUCAGUUUAACUGAAAUGUAUUGUAAACUUCAUACAUUAAGAAAAGGUGUAUAGCUGUGCAUGGAAAACCUUAAAAUUGUAUUAGUUUUUUUAAUUAAAAAUGCCAUGUUUUGUUUAUACAUAGCUACUAUUGAUCUUUAAGGUGUAUUCUUUUUAUUUCUUUCUAUAGUAAUAAAAAUGACAAUUGUUCAUUAUAUGAUUCAUACAGAAUGCUAUUUUCGAAUAUUUAUUUUCAUUAAAAUAUUGUUCAUGUUACUAAGCACUGUGUACAAAACCUACUGGUAAAUAAACUAGCAUUUGUUUUAAGAAUUUUCACCAAAUCUUUUGAAACAAUAUUCAUAUGGUAAGAGGAGAUGCAUUUUAGUAAUUGUGUUUUAACAGUUCCUGUACUGCCCAAGAGUACAUGAAUGUUUGUAAAUGAGAGAAGCCCAUUCAGCCUAUACAGGUCCUUUGGAGUAGGACAGUAGGUAACUACUUCACGGAUAUUAUCCAGCCUGAAAGAAACACUGAUAUUGGCUUUGACAACAUAACAGAGCUGUUCUGUGUGCCAAAGUGGCUCUCAUUCUCAGUUUUGCAAAAUAAUAUACAAUACAAUGUCUAAUACACUUACAGUGCCAACUGAGUCAGGACUGACACCUCCAUGAUGAACUAAGCACAGCGUGUAACUUGUGAUAAUCACAGAGUCCGUUUUAAUCGGUAUGAGCUGAAUAAAAAGCAGUAGUAUAGGCAAAGGUGGAAUCUAGUUUUCAAGUUUUCAUCACUGAUGUCUUCCCACCUUCAGAAAGAAUGUGCCCUUCACAUAUUCAUACAUUUUAAAUAUGAAACAUUUUAAUUUCUUCAAAGGCCCGUCGUGAUAGGAGCUGUAAAAAAACAAACUACAAUCUGGAGCAGUUCGGAAGUCCCGACAACUCAGGAUGAAUGAAAAAUACUGAUUUAUAUAUCUGUCAACGAAUAUACAAUGAGACCGUAUCUGACAUUACUGCUCUUUAUACAGAAUGGCUUGAAUUGACACCAAAGAAUUAUGGCUUUCUCUUACCUCUUGGACUUACUAGCUUUAAUUAACGGGGUACAAAUGCGACUGCAAAAAACAAGUCAGUGUGUACUGCGCAUGACAACAGAGCAAACCAGGAUUUCUGGUACCACCUCCUUCCAGAGAUUUCACUGAUAAGAAACUGGGCAACCUUGAGCUUUUUAUUCAACAUUUUUACAAAGUUCAUUCGUCUUCACAGUGUCUGAACCGGACCCAGCAAACCACGAUUUUACUUUUUU